UUCACAGCUCACUGCAGCCUCUAUCUCCUGGGCUCAAGGGAUCCUCCAGCCUCAGCCUCCUAAGGAGCCGUGACUACUCAGUUUCUCUAGGAAGGAAUCUCAACUGGGCUUGGAAGCCAUGCAAAAGAUGAUCUUUACCUAAAAUGGCUGAUUUCAAAUUUCCUGUGGAGCCUGAGACCAAACUAUAUCAGAGCAGGAUUCUGCACGCUUGAAGAUCAUCCUUAUCAGGCCACAGAACUUCCGUUGUAUACAGGGACAAAAGAGUUUUACUCCACCCAAGAUGGAGUGCAGUGGCACAAUCCCAGCUCAUUGCACUUCUGCCUCCCAGGCUCAAACAAUCCUCCCACCUGAGCCUCCUGAGUAGCUGGUACUGCAGACUUUCCGACCUACAUACACAUUCAAAAUUGGGGGAAAAAAAAGGCUGGAAGGAAACAGACCAAAUGGGACAACGUUAGUCUGAAAGGCAGUUUCCUGCUUGGGUGGCUGAUGAAGUGUCUGUUCCAAGAUCUCAAAGAAAUAAAUCAGAUGUCAGUGGGGAACCCACACCUGCUUCCUCUCAUGCUGAUAAAGAACAAUUAACUCUCAUCAGAAUGUGUCUGGCUUCGUCCCAGAACUGAGCAUUAUCUGAAAGAAUAUGGCAGGUUUUCUUCUGGCCUAAAAACUACUGGAAGGUCCUAGUCAAGAUGAAAAGUAGAAGAUUCUGUGCCAGACAAAAGUGAUACACUGGCAUAUUCAGCAACCAAAUAGGCCAAACCCGAGGCUAUGGAAAACAAACACACACAUGCUUGAUCUCAUUUCUACUGCUAAUUGGAGGACCUUGAUGGGUCUUUGGAUCUGUCUGUAAAAUCACAGAACUGAAUAUGAGGAGCUUCUAUCAGUGCUGACUAAAGACCACACUUGUAGUCAAAUAAACAGAACAGAACUACCAAAAGUAGGUUUUCUUAGACUUGCUGCAGCAAGGGAGACUGUGUACUCAAGCACAUCUCAGUAGCGGGAGAUAAUAGGGGCUUUUUUUUUUUAAGAGCUAGGGUCUCCCUCUGUUGCCUAGGUUGGAGUGCAGUGGUGUGACCACAGGUCACUGUAAUCUUGAACUCCUGGGCUCUAGCAGUCCUCCCACCUCAGCCUCCCAAGUAGCUAAGGCUACAGGUAUGCACCACCACACUUGGCUAAUUUUUAAAUUUUUUGUAGAGACAUGGUCUCACCAUAUUGCGUAGGCUGGUCUUGAACUCCUGGACUCAAGUGAUCCUCCCACCUCUGCCUCCCAAAGAGCUGGGAUAUAGGUGUGAGCUGCUGAGCCCAGCUGACAGGGGUUUCUUAAAGGGUUUUGGCUUGUGUUGGAACGCUGUGUGGGAGAUUAAGUAAUGGGGGCCAGUUCUGGGAUGGAUGUUAAGAAGCAGGAGUGGCCGGGCGCAGUGGCUCAAGCCUGUAAUCCCAGCACUUUGGGAGGCCGAGGUGGGUGGAUCACGAGGUCAAGAGAUCGAGACCAUCCUGGUCAACAUGGUGAAACCCCGACUCUACUAAAAAUACAAAAAAAUUAGCUGGGUGUGGUGGCACGUGCCUGUAAUCCCAGCUGCUCAGGAGGCUGAGGCAGGAGAAUUGCCUGAGCCCAGGAGGAGGAGGUUGCAGUGAGCCGAGAUUGCGCCAUUGCACUCCAGCCUGGGUAAUAAGAGCAAAACUCCGUCUCAAAAAAAAAAAAAAAAAAAAAAAGCAGGGACAAUUUGGUGACUGAGUAGCUCAUUCAUUGUUAUCUAGGAGGGUUAAAAUGGGGGCUUGAGUUGAUACUGGCAAAGCAUCUGUUCAGAAAGGAAUAAUGCUUGUUAGAAGAAGGGAAUGUUUAGUUAAAUUUUUGUGCUCCAAGACUGGCCUUGUCAAUGUCUUGUUCUGAGUAUUGUUUAUACUGUGCUGGAAACAUGGUUGAUUGUCUAGCAGGGCGGUUUUUUCACUAUCUCAGCUUCAUUCGACUUUAUAAACAACCACCCAACAAACUCAAAUUUGAAUGCACUUUACAACUUAGAAAAUGCUCUUUUUACCUAUGGAGGAGUUCUUUGUGAUGGUGGCAAUUUCUCCAUUCUUAACAACAAGGAAAUUGAAGGUAAGAGAUAUUAAGUGGCUUCCCAGGACCCCAGCUACUUAAGCUUUCAAAUCAGAAAAUAGUAGCAUUCAGCUCUAAGUUAGUUGUGGUUUUGAAUAUUGUUCAUUCCACAAACCUGCACUGAGUACUUACUAAGUUC
Long non-coding RNA from Callithrix jacchus (white-tufted-ear marmoset), 2231 nucleotides. RefSeq lists it as uncharacterized. The record is from RefSeq and is a predicted model, not a curated record. Lineage: Eukaryota; Metazoa; Chordata; Mammalia; Primates; Cebidae.